GAUGAACGCUGGCGGCGUGCUUAACACAUGCAAGUCGAACGGUGAAGGCGGAGCUUGCUCUGCUGGAUCAGUGGCGAACGGGUGAGUAACACGUGAGCAAUCUGCCCCUGACUCUGGGCUAAGCGCUGGAAACGGCGUCUAAUACUGGAUACGAGCUGCGCAGGCAUCUUCAGCAGCUGGAAAGAACUUCGGUCAGGGAUGAGCGCGCGGCGUAUCAGCUUGUUGGUGAGGUAACGGCUCACCAAGGCGUCGACGGGUAGCCGGCCUGAGAGGGUGACCGGCCACACUGGGACUGAGACACGGCCCAGACUCCUACGGGAGGCAGCAGUGGGGAAUAUUGCACAAUGGGCGAAAGCCUGAUGCAGCAACGCCGCGGGGUGGACGACGGCCUUCGGGUUGUAAACCUCUUUUAGCAGGGAAGAAGCGAAAGUGACGGUACCUGCAGAAAAAGCGCCGGCUAACUACGUG
RNAcentral lists this ribosomal RNA (468 nucleotides) under uncultured bacterium. RNAcentral describes it as "partial 16S ribosomal RNA". It matches the Rfam family "Bacterial small subunit ribosomal RNA", at positions 28 to 507 of the family's 1533-position model. The record is from RNAcentral.